RNAcentral lists this ribosomal RNA (415 nucleotides) under uncultured eukaryote. Its description in RNAcentral is "bacterial SSU rRNA". It matches the Rfam family "Eukaryotic small subunit ribosomal RNA", at positions 592 to 1018 of the family's 1831-position model. The record is from RNAcentral.
CAAUAGUGUAUACUAAAGUUGUUGCAGUUAAAAAGCUCGUAGUUGGAUUUCGGUUAACACAGCGACAGUCUACUUUUUUAUAAGUACGCACUGUCAAUGUGUUUCCUUCUUUUCAGAUAUACAACUUUGUUGUGUUCUGAAUCUUUUACUUUGAAAAAUUAGAGUGUUCAAAGCAGGCGUAUCUUUGCCUUUGAAUAUAUUAGCAUGGGAUAAUGAAAUAAGACUUUUUGCCUUAUUCUCGUUGGUUCAUUUGGCUAAAGUAAUGAUUAAUAGGGAUAGUUGGGGUUAUUAGUAUUUAAUUGUCAGAGGUGAAAUUCUAAAAUUAAUUAAAGACUAACUACUGCGAAAGCAUUUAACAAGGAUGUUUUCAUUAAUCAAGAACGAAAGUUGGGGAUCGAAGAUGAUCAGAUACCGU